UGUCGUCAGCUCGUGCUGUGAAGUGUGGGUUAAGUCCCGCAACGAGCGCAACCCUAUCAUCUGUUGCCAGCAUUUAAGGUGGGGACGUCAGAUGAGACUGCCGGUGACAAACCGGAGGAAGGUGGGGACGACGUCAAGUCAUCAUGGCCCUUAUGUCCUGGGCUACACACGUGCUACAAUGGCCGGUACAGAGUGAAGCGAAACCGCGAGGUGAAGCAAAACGCAGAAAGCCGGUCUCAGUACGGAUUGGAGUCUGAAACUCGACUUCAUGAAGUUGGAAUCGCUAGUAAUCGCGCAUCAGCAUGGCGCGGUGAAUACGUUCCCGGGCCUU
Molecule: ribosomal RNA, 331 nt
Filed under: uncultured Spirochaeta sp.
Lineage: Bacteria; Pseudomonadati; Spirochaetota; Spirochaetia; Spirochaetales; Spirochaetaceae
Description: bacterial SSU rRNA
Rfam family: Bacterial small subunit ribosomal RNA
Source: RNAcentral